AUGUGGAUGGUUUAUUGCUUUUUUUGUAUAAAAGGUGCUAAUCAAAUAAGAUCUGAUUGAUUGAAGAUGCAUGUCUUGUACGCUGUGUCUUGCAGAAAGAUCCUGGUUUUGACAGAGGACAGUUUCAUAGACAAGUAGCCGUGAUGAGGGGACAAAUCCUGAACCUGUGCCAAGCCCUGAAGGACGGUAAAACGCCCCUCCAGUUGGUCCAGAUGCCCCCAGUAAUUGUCGAAACAGCCAGAGCACCUCAGAGAGCCAACAGUGAGUCCUACACACAGAGUUUCCAAAGCAGAAGACCCUUCUUCACCUGGUGGUAGGAACGGAGCAGCAGAAAGGAAGAGAAGGAACAGCAGGAAGCCGAAGAGGGGCAAGGAGGGAGAUGUGCCGCUGGAGGGACAGGUUUUUGUCCUGAAAAUGGAUAUUAUCAUCACCUUCCCCCCGAACGUAAGGAUAUUUUGGUUUGGUUGAGAGAGGGUGGAGAGAUGAGGCCAAAAGAGGAAGAAUCUCACAUUUCUUCCCUGUUUGCCUUGUGCCUUGUUGUGGAUGUCAGUGAAGAAUUCACGCCUAAAUGAUUCUGUAGCUUCCUUCGUGAAGAAACGUUUUCAGCAAGACUUUUUUGUUGGACUCCUGGGUGCAACUAAGGUUUGCUCACACACAUGUGCGUCAGUCAGAAGCCUCUAAUACUUACUGGAUGAGAGGUGUUGCAUUCCAUGUUUUUCUUUUCUCUAUACCCAUCUGCCUUUUUAAUAUUCACUUGCAUUGUCUUUCCCAUGCAGUUAAAACACAGGGCUGGAAGCGUCAAAGCCACUACAUAGUAUCAGAGAUUUUUAAUUUUUAACAAAUAAGAGAAAUGUUAUGGUAAAGAUUUUGGGGUGUCUUUACACAGUGAACAUAAGCCACGUGAACUGGUUUCACACUUGUUCAUUGCUCCUCCUAACCGUCUAGAUUAGGAUCUGUAAAUCACCUCGGGUGAUAAUGAAAAGCGGAGGCAAAGAAAAAAACUGUUUAAAAUCAGAUUAGUAUGACUGGAUCACCUAAUUUGUCCCUUCCAACUGAUGAUUUAAAUCAUAGGAGAAUAACACAUGAUGAUCUCGUCUACAAGCAGGCGAAGGGUGGUUGGUGCCGAUUCUCAGACCACAAGCUCCCGUUUGCCUGGGUCACAUUGAUUUGUGUUAAUUUUACUGCUCGUGAGGUGGACCGAAACAACAAAGUAACUUCCUGCUGUGCUGAACUGACAAGAAAUGUAAUGUGACAAUGCACUGUAUAAUUUGUAUGUAAUAUUUAAUGAUAGAUUAUAAUUAAAACCUACUGCAUUGA
Non-coding RNA from Paralichthys olivaceus (Japanese flounder), 1317 nucleotides. NCBI's taxonomy places the organism in Eukaryota, Metazoa, Chordata, Actinopteri, Pleuronectiformes, Paralichthyidae. The record is from RefSeq and is a predicted model, not a curated record.